CUUCUGAGAAUCAUGUGGAAAGAUUAGAAUAAAGGCUAGACGAUUAAAAAAAAAAAAGCUAGAGGCUAUAGGGAGCCUGUUCUGACUCCGUAUAAUGAUGAAUGUCUUAGCAGCUAGGCAGCAACGCGAAUGGAAUGGUUAAUCUGCAAGGAGACGAGCGCGCUCUCGGGAUGGUUCGAAGAAGGCUGAUUGAGGAGACAGUCUUACACGGGGUGCACCAAUGCGCCUAUGGCCUCGAAGGUGACUCUCAACUCUGAGUCUUUGAUCCUGGGAUUUCACAGCCUUAAAGAAGACCAAGGGAGCCGAGUAGAUGGGAGCCAAGCACUCUCUCUGCAGAGAUGGCCACAGGCUGCAAGGAGGACUUUUCAGGACAUCCUGCUGCUUGAUGACCUAAAGACGCAGAAUUGCUCACUACCUUCCUCAGAAGUUCCAGGUGAGGCCAUUUUGUCUGUCCUCUGCCCCCAAAGUGUAAUACAGAGGCCGAUGAGAGCCCCCGCUCCUGUAAUCUCUGGGGAACCCUCCGUGCUGAAGCCGGUCCCAGUCUAUCCUGCCGCUACCCCUGCCCACACCCGGAGCCCCUGGCUGCAGCGCCGUCUUCCAGCACCACCGGCUGCAAGCACACUUUCCAUCCCUGAGCAGGCCUCUGUUGGAAUCGCUCUCUGCCAGCUGUUUCAAAGCCCAGACCUUGCCGAGUAAAGCCCUUGACAGCAGGAGCACUCCGAUGGCGCGACGCAAAGAGCUCACACUUGAAGGCAGGAAAACAGCCCUGCACUGAAACGCGGGCCCCUGGCCCCUGUCUGACCUUGGAGACGUAGCCCGUCUUGGCAUCCCUCUGGCUCCACCUCUGUGGCUGGGGAACGUUGAAAGCAGUCAUCUCUGAGGUUCCGCCAGCUGGAAAUCUCUAUCACCUGACAGCUGACAUUCUAGGAAAGAAUUUAAACGAGAGUUUAUUUUUCUCCACCCCGUUGUCCUUCUUAGGUUACAAAAUUAGGAAAUCUAACCAAACCUGGCCACAGAGUAUGCCCUUCUGCGGCUAUUUCUAGGUGUCAUUCGGCCCCAGACCUCGCCCUUGGUCACCAGCGUGUGGGCUUCCUUCUUUUUUAGCUGCUGCUUCUUGAUACUUACGAGGGACAACGCUCUCCCGCGCCCAACUUCCAUCAGUGUCCUGCAGCCCCCCGAGCCUGUGUUGAUGCCUCUCUGGGACUCCCAGGCUGGCAGGGCACAGGAAACCGAAAUGACAUUCUGGGGAAAAGGAAAAAGGAAACCGAUUGGAGCAAAGAUAAGCCAGAGUUGGAGAUCUGACUGAGGAGCAUUUCUGGCCAGAGGGAGCACUUGGCCCGUGAUGGGCUCCAUGGAUGAGUCAGCACAGGAAUGGCAAACACAGCCUGUCAGGUCCCGAAGCUGCGAUGGAGCAGAAUAUUGAUUGCACUGGGGCGCACAGGAGAGAGCAAGAAGGAUAGGGAGGGAGAGAGAGCCGUUUACACCAGACAGAUGCAGAUAGAGAGGUGAGAGGCAUCCGGCCCUGGUUUUCCUUCCCGAGAGCCUGCUUCUAGCAGCUAAGGUCAGUUCCACACGUGCCUGCUGUAGCUUCCUUAAGCCCUGAGUAGCCCUCUGCUGCCUUCCAGAUAAGCUGGGGGUGAGCUGACGCAAGAGUGGGUGUGCAAGGCCGCACACCUGGCCGCUUCUGUCAGAAGCCACAUCUGCUCCCGGACCCAGGCUCCGUUCUUCAGCGGUAAUCACGCCUCUGCCGGGAAGGCACUGAGCCCAGGGAGCUGACCCAUUCAUCCUUGGCUUUUUACCAGCAGAUUCUGUUGUCCAUGGAUGAAACGACUGUGUUGUCAGAGAACAGGACUUCGGAGCAGGGAGCACGAAAUACGUUCCAGACAGAAAGAAGGGCUUCAAUUCCCUUUGAGUGCAGGGUCAGCCCAUCGGAGGACAACCAUGCCGUCUCCCCCUCAGCUGUGUCCCGAAUGAAUCUCCCAUACUUAGACCGUUGGGUGCAAAAAGGAAAUGAAAAAUGUAGUCUUCGAACACUGGACACCGCGUGCCUGUAUGGUGCAAGAGUCCAGGGGGCAUGUCCCCAGUGGUUUUGCUGUACGUUAUCCGGUACAACCGUCCGCAUAAUUAGCAACAAAAGAGCCAGUUUAGCAAGCAUUUAUAUGGCAACUAUGUAGCAGGCAUGCUGCUAGCUGGGGGGCUUCAAACAUGACUAAGACUGACUUAGUCAUAUGCUUUCUCAUGGCUUUGAUGGUUGUCGGGGAGGAAGUUGGUAUUGGAAAUGCUUCAUGGAACAACCUCGUAAGUAGUCACUAGAAUGAAAGACCAAAAAGCAUUCCAUUUAAAUUUUACUUAUUUUAUAAAAGAACAAAAAUAAACUGAAGUUGUUGAACCUUACGUAAAUGUUU
This 2405-nucleotide long non-coding RNA is filed under the name Ursus maritimus (polar bear). Its description in RNAcentral is "lncRNA (ENSUMAG00000018714.1)". The record is from RNAcentral. Lineage: Eukaryota; Metazoa; Chordata; Mammalia; Carnivora; Ursidae.